GAUGAACGCUGGCGGCGUGCCUAAUACAUGCAAGUCGAGCGAACGGACGAGAAGCUUGCUUCUCUGAUGUUAGCGGCGGACGGGUGAGUAACACGUGGAUAACCUACCUAUAAGACUGGGAUAACUUCGGGAAACCGGAGCUAAUACCGGAUAAUAUUUUGAACCGCAUGGUUCAAAAGUGAAAGACGGUCUUGCUGUCACUUAUAGAUGGAUCCGCGCUGCAUUAGCUAGUUGGUAAGGUAACGGCUUACCAAGGCAACGAUGCAUAGCCGACCUGAGAGGGUGAUCGGCCACACUGGAACUGAGACACGGUCCAGACUCCUACGGGAGGCAGCAGUAGGGAAUCUUCCGCAAUGGGCGAAAGCCUGACGGAGCAACGCCGCGUGAGUGAUGAAGGUCUUCGGAUCGUAAAACUCUGUUAUUAGGGAAGAACAUAUGUGUAAGUAACUGUGCACAUCUUGACGGUACCUAAUCAGAAAGCCACGGCUAACUACGUGCCAGCAGCCGCGGUAAUACGUAGGUGGCAAGCGUUAUCCGGAAUUAUUGGGCGUAAAGCGCGCGUAGGCGGUUUUUUAAGUCUGAUGUGAAAGCCCACGGCUCAACCGUGGAGGGUCAUUGGAAACUGGAAAACUUGAGUGCAGAAGAGGAAAGUGGAAUUCCAUGUGUAGCGGUGAAAUGCGCAGAGAUAUGGAGGAACACCAGUGGCGAAGGCGACUUUCUGGUCUGUAACUGACGCUGAUGUGCGAAAGCGUGGGGAUCAAACAGGAUUAGAUACCCUGGUAGUCCACGCCGUAAACGAUGAGUGCUAAGUGUUAGGGGGUUUCCGCCCCUUAGUGCUGCAGCUAACGCAUUAAGCACUCCGCCUGGGGAGUACGACCGCAAGGUUGAAACUCAAAGGAAUUGACGGGGACCCGCACAAGCGGUGGAGCAUGUGGUUUAAUUCGAAGCAACGCGAAGAACCUUACCAAAUCUUGACAUCCUUUGACAACUCUAGAGAUAGAGCCUUCCCCUUCGGGGGGGGCAAAGUGACAGGUGGUGCAUGGUUGUCGUCAGCUCGUGUCGUGAGAUGUUGGGUUAAGUCCCGCAACGAGCGCAGCCCUUAAGCUUAGUUGCCAUCAUUAAGUUGGGCACUCUAAGUUGACUGCCGGUGACAAACCGGAGGAAGGUGGGGAUGACGUCAAAUCAUCAUGCCCCUUAUGAUUUGGGCUACACACGUGCUACAAUGGACAAUACAAAGGGCAGCGAAACCGCGAGGUCAAGCAAAUCCCAUAAAGUUGUUCUCAGUUCGGAUUGUAGUCUGCAACUCGACUACAUGAAGCUGGAAUCGCUAGUAAUCGUAGAUCAGCAUGCUACGGUGAAUACGUUCCCGGGUCU
This 1374-nucleotide ribosomal RNA is filed under the name uncultured bacterium. RNAcentral describes it as "bacterial SSU rRNA". It matches the Rfam family "Bacterial small subunit ribosomal RNA", at positions 28 to 1381 of the family's 1533-position model. The record is from RNAcentral.